AGGCCACUGUGUUCUUGGGGACAUUCAACGCUGCAGACAUUUUUUGGUACCCUUCCCCAGAUCUGUGCCUCGACACAAUCCUGUCUCGUAGCUUUACAGACAAUUCCUUUGACUUCAUAGCCUGGUUUUUGCUCUGACAUGCACUGUCAACUGUGGGACUUUAUAUAGACAGGAUGAUCAAUGGAUACAGGAUGCACCUGCGCUCAAUUUCGUGUCUCAUAGCAAAGGAUCUGAAUAUUUAUGAAAAUAAGGUAGGCUAGUUGAGAACAAGUUCUCAUUUACAACUGCAACCUGGCCAAGAUAAAGCAAAGCAGUGCGAUACAACCAACAACACAGAGUUACGCAUGGAGUAAACAAGCCUACAGUCAAUAACACAAUAGAAAAAAAGAAAGUCUAUAUAAAGUGUGUGCAAAUGGCGUGAGGAGGUAA
RNAcentral lists this long non-coding RNA (429 nucleotides) under Salmo salar (Atlantic salmon). RNAcentral's name for it is "lncRNA (ENSSSAG00000109520.1)". The record is from RNAcentral. Lineage: Eukaryota; Metazoa; Chordata; Actinopteri; Salmoniformes; Salmonidae.